This 139-nucleotide ribosomal RNA is filed under the name uncultured bacterium. RNAcentral describes it as "partial 16S ribosomal RNA". It matches the Rfam family "Bacterial small subunit ribosomal RNA", at positions 355 to 509 of the family's 1533-position model. The record is from RNAcentral.
UGGGGAAUAUUGGGCAAUGGGCGCAAGCCUGACCCAGCAACGCCGCGUGAAGGAAGAAGGCUUUCGGGUUGUAAACUUCUUUUAAGAGGGAAGAGGAGAAGACGGUACCUCUUGAAUAAGCCACGGCUAACUACGUGCC